AAAAGAUUUUAAUAAAGCAAAUGGUGGAUGCCUUGGUCGCUAAAGCCGAAGAAGGACGCAGAAGACAGCGAAAUACAUUGAGGAGUUGCCAACAAACGUUGAUCCAAUGGAAUCCGAAUGGGGAAACCCUGGUCCGGUAAAUCGGACUGAUCCUGGCGCAAGUCGGGAAGGUAAGUCGGGGAACUGAAACAUCUAAGUACCCGGAAGAAAAGAAAUCGUAUGAGAUUCCGUUAGUAGCGGUGAGCGAAACCGGAACAGCCCAAACUUCUAAUUUAUUAGGAGGGUUGCAGGGUCUAGUUGUAUGACAGGAAACAAUAAAAGAACGCCGUGGAAUAGGCGGCCGAAGACGGUGAAAGCCCCGUAUUUUAAAUUUAAGUACUGUUUUGACUGGAUACCUAAGUACCGCGGUCCACGUGUAAUGUCGCGGGAAUCUGGGGAGACCAAUCUCCAAGGCUAAAUACUUUAGCGGACCGAUAGUGAACUAGUACCGUGAGGGAAAGGUGAAAAAUACCCAUAUAUGGGGAUGAAAUAAAUCUGAAACCAUUUGCUAACAAACAGACAAAGCCGUCCGUCGCCGCAAGGCUAUGGAUCGGUGAUGUCGUGCCUAUUGAAGAAUGAGCCUGCGAGUGUUUCUAGUCAUCAAGUCUAAUUCUGCUAAGCAGAAGGAGGCGGAGCGAAAGCGAGUCUGAAUAAGGCGAUUAGAUGGCUGGAUAUGACCCGAAACCGGUUGAGCUAACCUUGAGCAGGGUGAACUUUGGCGAAAGCCAAGGGGAGGCCCGAACUGAUUACAGCUGCAAAUGUAUCGGAUGACUUGAGGUUAGGGGUAAUAUGCCAAUCGAAACCGGAGAUAGCUGGCUCUCUCCGAAAUAUAUAUAGGUAUAGCGUCUAGUGUUCCCUUGUGGGGGUAGAGCUACUGGAUGAAUGUUUGUAGCGCAAGCUACGGCAUUUAACCAAACUCCGAAUACCAUAAGGUUAAACUAGGCAGUCAGUCCGACCGGGCUAAGCUGGCCGGGCAAAAGGGGAAGACCCCAGACUCUCAUCUAAGGUCUCUAAAUUUUUGUUAAGUGGGAAAGGGAGUGAUUUUCCUAAGACAGUCAGGAGGUUGGCUUAGAAGCAGCCAUCCUUUAAAGAAAGCGUAACAGCUCACUGAUCGACCCCGUAAGGGGUCGGAAAAUCGCACCGAAAAUGUAACGAGGCUAAAACAAAAUACCGAAGAUGGAGGAACGUAAAAUUUCGCAAGAAAUUAACGUUCGGUAGGAGAGCGUUCUGGUAGCGGUGAAGGUCUGGCGAAAGCUUGGCUGGAGCGACCAGAAGUGAGAAUGCAGGCAUGAGUAACGAAAUCAGAGUGAGAACCUCUGACGUCGAAAUAUCCAAGGUUUCCUCAGCUAUGUUGUUCAUCUGAGGGUUAGGCGAUCCUAACAUGAGGCCAGUCAAUCUGGCGUAGUGGAUGGAUAACCGGUUAAUAUUCCGGUCCUUUCUUAUGUUCGUUUUAAUUUGGGUCGAGACGAUGUGUGGAAGAUUUGGUCUUGCAGUGAAAUUGCAGGAUUUAAGUGUUGAGCUAGAAGGGGUAGGCAAAUCCGCCUUUUCGUUAUAAAGCAAUACACGAAUAAAAGCCCGAGUAAUCGGGCAAUCAGAUUGAACCCAUGUAUCCGAGAAAAGCGGCGCAAAUAGAGCAUAGGAAAUUCGUACUAAAACCGACACUGGUGGAUAAGUCGAGUAGACUAAGACGAUUGGAAGACAGAUGGUUAAGGAACUUGGCAAAUUAACUGGGCGUAAGCUAUGCAAGAUGCCCUGCCCGGGAUAACACCCGGGCUACAACAAAAGAAUGUACGGCGACUGUUUACCACAAACACAGGUCCAUGCUAACCCGUAAGGGGAUGUAUAUGGGCUGAAACCUGACCGGUGCUAGAAGGUUAAAUGAGAGAGUGAUAGUCGAUUUAUCGAUUUGAGCUUUUGAUUGAAGCCCUAGUGAACGUCAGCAGUAACUCUAACUGUUCUAAGGUAGCGAAGUCCUUUGUCGUGUAAGUUACGACACGUAUGAAAGGUUUAACGACCGUACAACUGUCUUAACCAUCUAUCCAGUGAAAUUGAAAGAGCGGUGAAGAUGCCGUUUAAUUACAACAGGACAAAAAGACCCCAUGAAGCUUUACUGGAUCUUUACAUUGAUAAGGAUUUGAUGAUUGUCGAGCGUAGGAGGGAGCCUUCGGGCACCAAUGGAACACCUCCCUUUAUCAUUUCUGAAUCUAACCUACUCCGAUGGAACUCGGAGAGGGACCGUGUAUGGUUGCUAGUUUGCCUGGGGCAGGCACCUGCAAAAGAGUAACGCGGGUAUACAAAGGUUGGUUUGGUCCGGCUGGAAAUCGGGCCGUAAGUGUAAAAGCAUAAACCAGCUUGACUGUGAGACUUACUAGUCGAAGUCCCGUAAGGGACGUUCCAAGCAAUUUGAUUUUGGAAUCAGGGUCGAAAGACGGUUUUAGUGAUCCUCGUGACCCAUUUGGUAUGGGCACGGGCUUACUGGAUAAAAGCUACUCUGGGGAUAACAGGCUAGUCACGUCCGAUAGUUCAUAUUGACGACGUGGUUCGGCACCUCGAUGUCGACUUGGCGCAUCCUGGCCCUGAAGAAGGGGCCAAGGGUUGGUCUGUUCGCCCAUUAAAGCGCUGCGUUAGUUGGGUUCAGAGCGUCGCGAGACAGCUCGGUCUCUAUCCGUUGUAAUCGUUCGAUUCUUGAGGGGAUUCGUCUACAGUACGAGAGGACCUAGACGAGGAAACCGCUGGCGUGCCAGUUGUUCCGUCAGGAGCAUUGCUGGGUAACCACGUUUCUAUAAGAUAACUGCUGAAAGCAUCUCAAGCAGGAAGCUGACCCCAAGAUAAGGAAUCGUAUCUCGAGUAAUCGAGAGAGAGAUCGCCGGGAGACUACCGGUUAAUACUUUGCAAGUGGAAGGCCCGUAAGGGUUUAAGCUAAGCAAUGGAAAGAUCGAAGAAAUCUUUUUU
This 2991-nucleotide ribosomal RNA is filed under the name Candidatus Shapirobacteria bacterium. RNAcentral describes it as "23S ribosomal RNA". It matches the Rfam family "Bacterial large subunit ribosomal RNA". Lineage: Bacteria; Candidatus Shapironibacteriota. The record is from RNAcentral.